RNAcentral lists this ribosomal RNA (573 nucleotides) under uncultured bacterium. Its description in RNAcentral is "partial 16S ribosomal RNA". It matches the Rfam family "Bacterial small subunit ribosomal RNA", at positions 355 to 916 of the family's 1533-position model. The record is from RNAcentral.
UGGGGAAUUUUGGACAAUGGGCGAAAGCCUGAUCCAGCAAUGCCGCGUGUGUGAAGAAGGCCUUCGGGUUGUAAAGCACUUUUGUCCGGAAAGAAAUCCUUGGCUCUAAUACAGUCGGGGGAUGACGGUACCGGAAGAAUAAGCACCGGCUAACUACGUGCCAGCAGCCGCGGUAAUACGUAGGGUGCAAGCGUUAAUCGGAAUUACUGGGCGUAAAGCGUGCGCAGGCGGUUUGCUAAGACCGAUGUGAAAUCCCCGGGCUCAACCUGGGAACUGCAUUGGUGACUGGCAGGCUAGAGUAUGGCAGAGGGGGGUAGAACUUCCACGUGUAGCAGUGAAAUGCGUAGAGAUGUGGAGGAAUACCGAUGGCGAAGGCAGCCCCCUGGGCCAAUACUGACGCUCAUGCACGAAAAGCGUGGGGAGCAAACAGGAUUAGAUACCCUGGUAGUCCACGCCCUAAAACGAUGUCAACUAGUUGUUGGGGAUUCAUUUCCUUAGUAACGUAGCUAACGCGUGAAGUUGACCGCCUGGGGAGUACGGUCGCAAGAUUAAAACUUCAAAUGGAAUUGACGG